RNAcentral lists this ribosomal RNA (497 nucleotides) under uncultured bacterium. Its description in RNAcentral is "partial 16S ribosomal RNA". It matches the Rfam family "Bacterial small subunit ribosomal RNA", at positions 28 to 507 of the family's 1533-position model. The record is from RNAcentral.
GAUGAACGCUGGCGGCGUGCCUAAUACAUGCAAGUCGAGCGAGCGGACGAGAAGCUUUCUUCUCUGAUGUUAUCGGCUGACGGGUGAGUAAGACGUGGAUAAACUACCUAUAAUACUGGGAUAACUUCGGGAAACCGGAGCUAAUACCGGAUGAUAUUUUUAACAGCAUGGUUCAAAAGUGAAAGGCGAUCUUGCUGUCACUUAAAGAUGUAUCGGCGCUGAAUUAGCUAGUUGGUAAGGUAACGGCUUACCAAGGCAACGAUGCAUAGCCGACCUGAGGGGGUGAUCGGCCACACUGAACCUGAGACACGGUCCAGACUCCUACGGGAGGCAGCAGUAGGGAAUCUUCCGCAUUGGGCGAAAGCCUGACGGAGCAACGCCGCGUGAGUGAUGAAGGUCUUCGGAUCGUAAAACUCUGUUAUUAGGGAAGAACAUAUGUGUAAGUAACUGUGCACAUCUUGACGGUACCUAAUCAGAAAGCCACGGCUAACUACGUG